RNAcentral lists this transfer RNA (78 nucleotides) under Candidatus Bathyarchaeota archaeon. RNAcentral describes it as "tRNA-Arg". It matches the Rfam family "tRNA". From Rfam's summary of the family: Transfer RNA (tRNA) molecules are approximately 80 nucleotides in length. Their secondary structure includes four short double-helical elements and three loops (D, anti-codon, and T loops). RNAcentral also lists the same sequence under 1 other name. Lineage: Archaea; Thermoproteati; Candidatus Bathyarchaeota. The record is from RNAcentral.
GGGCCCGUGGCCAAGCCAGGAUAAGGCGCCUGCCUUCUAAGCCGGAGAUCGAGGGUUCGAAUCCCUCCGGGCCCGCCA